Molecule: long non-coding RNA, 483 nt
Filed under: Homo sapiens (human)
Lineage: Eukaryota; Metazoa; Chordata; Mammalia; Primates; Hominidae
Description: HSALNT0375380
Source: RNAcentral
UCCAGCCUGGAUGACAGAGCAAAACUCCAUCUCAAAAAAAAAAAAAAACUGGAACCAUCUUGGAUAAAAUGUACGACAAAGUACUGAUGAGUUUAAUGUUAACAGAACUAGAAGUCAGCAAGAAGACCAGCAACAAGCCUUCGGAUAAGUGAGUUCUUCAUUAGCUUUAAGAGAGUGGGAGCAGAGGAAACGGGUACCGUGAGGGCAGACCUGCUUUCAAGAACAGAUGAACAGCGGCUGAGAAUGACUCCAAGAGGUCGCAGGAGCAGAGCUGCAUUUCAGUGGCAGCUUGAACCAAGAUCUAGAUGUCCAUUUGGAGUGAGUGUCAAGAAAUACCACGUAAGAAAAGAGAGCAGUGCCGUCCUGCCACCACUGUGUGUGCGGCCCGUGUACGUGUGAAUAACGACGGCUCAACUCCAGAAUGGAGUUCUGGAAGGCUGCGAGCAGGCCAGGCACAGUGGCUCACACCUGUAAUCCCAGCAC